RNAcentral lists this unclassified non-coding RNA (85 nucleotides) under Crithidia fasciculata. The record is from RNAcentral. Lineage: Eukaryota; Euglenozoa; Kinetoplastea; Trypanosomatida; Trypanosomatidae.
ACCUUGACGUUAGAAGAUAAUAUAAAUUUUUGAGUAGCAUUGUCUUUUAACGUCAGGAUGUCUAUUAAGAGUGUAUGGUGUUGGA